CCUGGGCUCAAGCCUUGGCCUCCCAAAGUGCUGGGAUUACAGCCCCACCUGCAGAGUCAAGUCCCUCCUCCCACCUCAGCACUGCUAGAAAAGAGCUUCAGGAUGGAGCCACACAUGUCACUCAAGCCCAAGGGUCAGUCAACAGCCCACAGCCCUAAAUUCAUCUGUGUCCAAUGCCAGACCCUGCAACUGCUGAUUUACAUGAAUCAACUCCAUCAUGCAAGCCUCAUGACAUCCCAAUGAGCCACCAUCCUGUGAGGAAGCCCAGAGCACAUGAAGAGACCACCUGCACAUGUUCAGAUCCACUGCCCCAGCUAAGAUCUCCGCUGACAGCCAGACCAAUCACCAAUCUUAGGAGCUGGCGAGCCUUCAGAUGGUCCAACCUUUGAGGCCCCCCAGAGGAGCCAGGUGGAGCAUAGAUGAGCCAUCCAUGUGGAUCCCUCCACCAAAUGGAAGAUUUAGGAGCAAAAUAAACAAUGUUGUCAUUGCUUUCA
This 494-nucleotide long non-coding RNA is filed under the name Homo sapiens (human). Its description in RNAcentral is "HSALNT0342258". Lineage: Eukaryota; Metazoa; Chordata; Mammalia; Primates; Hominidae. The record is from RNAcentral.